AUCCAGCUGAUUAGUCCCAAAUAGGACGAAAACGCGCAUCAAACUGGAU
RNAcentral lists this non-coding RNA (49 nucleotides) under Schistosoma mansoni. Lineage: Eukaryota; Metazoa; Platyhelminthes; Trematoda; Strigeidida; Schistosomatidae. The record is from RNAcentral.